GGAGGCGUCGCAUAGAGGCCUAGUGCCACGGUUUGCUAAACCGUUAGGGGAGAAAUCCCCUCGAAGGUUCGAAUCCUUCCGCCUCCGCCA
Molecule: transfer RNA, 90 nt
Filed under: bacterium
Lineage: Bacteria
Description: tRNA-Ser
Rfam family: tRNA
About the family: Transfer RNA (tRNA) molecules are approximately 80 nucleotides in length.
Source: RNAcentral